Molecule: small RNA, 54 nt
Filed under: Sinorhizobium meliloti 2011
Lineage: Bacteria; Pseudomonadati; Pseudomonadota; Alphaproteobacteria; Hyphomicrobiales; Rhizobiaceae
Description: putative ncRNA
Source: RNAcentral
AUAGCGAAGGUGAGAUGGAUCCAUAUAGUCCCGCACCUUCGCUCUCGGUUUUGG